CCGGCCUUCCUAUGUUCCACACCUCCACUCUAUCUCUCUCAAUCUAGUAGAAACUAGAAGAUCUAUUUCUACUUACAUUGGUUGCUAAGCCUAAAAAGAAAUAUUAUUUAGAGAAGAGGUUUUCCUUCGAGGGCACCCCUCAAUCUCUAUGAUAAUUUCUUGUCUUCUCCAGGGGCCAGGGGGUCUCCUUAUAUAGUGCUCCUCCUCUAUGCAUUUUUGGUUCAGCAGGCGAUGUGGUACUAAACUUUCCACCAUAUCUCAUUAAAAUACACAUAGGCCUUCAUGGACCAAAAUCUCAUUUGGGCCCAAUUAAUCCCGCAGCUCUUUUAUGUGGUGUGCUUCUUUUAUUAAUAUCUCUUGAUUCCGAACACCAAAUAUAGCAAAUAAUAUAUGCAUUUCGAUCAGCUCGACGAGAUCUUUGUAAUGGUGUACUCCAUUCUGUGAUUGGUGGAAACACCUGGGCGGGCGCCCAAGGGGAGAGGGCGGGCGCCCUGCCCCCGGGCCCGUUCGGCCUCCCGUUCGUUCUCGUGGUUUCUGGAGUCUUCUAGAUGAUAGAAAAUUGCGCGGCACGUUAAUAUCUCUAUGUAAACCCAACAUGUGGGCCUUUCUUUCUCAUUUCUUGAUAACCCCCUGCAGAAAUAGACAAACACCAAAACUCGUGGAAUCCUGUCAGAUAAAACCCUAAGUCUAGCUGUUGAUUUCAUUUGGAUCCUUUUCUUUGUUUAUUUUAUAAUUAAAUUUGAUACUUAAGGACCGUCAACAAACUCCCCCAAGCUUACCUCUUGCUCGUCCCUGAGCAAGGAUGAACUCAAGAGUUUCUGCAGUGGUUUCAUGCCUUAAAAGUACACACGCAUUCAAGCAAGAUCUCAUCUCUUAGUUAGAAUAAACUGUUAAGACUUAAAACUUACUCAUUUUACCUUUCACCAUGGGGCUUGUAACCUUCACUUGUGUCUUGAGCAGUUAAAAGAUAGAACAGUCUAGUCAAGUGCUAUGUCUCGUAUUCUUGAUCAGCUAUAGCUCUGGAGUUUUUGCAGAUUUUUAAAUAAAACUCAGAGAUUCCUUGUAUGACUCUCUCAGAUCUCUCUUUUGUGGUAUUUCUGGAUCCUUUCCAAGGCAGUAAUAGUAUAUGCCUUCUCUCAAAGUAUGUAGUAUUUAUGGUAUGAGGCAUAGUGAUAUUGCCUUCUCUCUCACCCCACUCUAAUAAGGUUCUGAUAUCUGGAGCUCAUAGGUGGGAGACCGCUAAUACAUACUUACAAGACAUUUAUUGCAUAGUCAAACCAUGGAUCCAGAAGAACAAGUCAAUAAGUCAAAUCAAGAUGUGCAUGUGUGGCGAGUGAAUGGUAUAUGGUGAUGAUGGUGAUAACAAUGGUGAAAGUCUAAUUCUACUUUUGCUCUUUUAAGGGGAUAGAUACCUUUCUUGCACUUUGAAGCUUUUUUGGGAGAAUGAGAUGCUCUAUAUUUUCUUUUUCUUUCCUCUUAGGUGGGUAUCUUGUACCCCUAAUUCUACUGUCGGACACUUGUCCAUUUUUACCUCUCGUCUCACUUUUUCUUUUCUUCGAGGUUCCGGGCACUUGCCCCUGUUUAUUUCCUUGUAUUAUUUUUUUUCUCUUUUUUUUAUUUUUCUUUUUUUUAGAGCACUCAUCUCCUGAAAGAAUGUAGCAAGUGGUAGUAACCAAAAUAACUGGAGCAUUUAUUUCACAGGGAAUAAUAGGGAUAGGAAAAUGUUUUUGGCUAUUCUCUCCCGGAUUAGGAGUAGAAUAAUUUUGGGUGAAUCUGGAGAUGGAAAUGAGUGGAUAUAUGUGGAUGGUACUUCCGGAGUAGAAGUAGCAUGUAUGAGUGGACAUGCAAGUGAAUCUUGAUUUUAACCACAUGACAAGCUCCUAAGGGUCUACACAGCUUGACCACACUCAAUGCUCAUAAGCAGUAAAAAGUAAAUAUGUGGCUCAAAGUCUAGCAAGCAUGUAUAUAUGGCUGUGGUAGGAAUUUAAACUCUCAUCAUAUAGGAACUCAUCAUGUGUUAUUUUCAAGAUUUUCCAAAGAUAAAAUUCUCCAGAAUUCUAGCAUCUCUAGGAAUAGAUAAACAGCAGCUCAACCUUCCCAUAUCAUAUCCGUUAACGACUUAGACUUUAGAUCAAGUACUCUUCCCACAAGUUCAGAUUUAGAGCAAAUCAUAAUUCAUAACAGUCAUGCCUAAACUUGAGAGAGAUUUCAAUUUUAAGAACUAGUCAUGGCAGAGCAACUAUUCAUCAUUUCCAUGAGAGAGCUUAUCAUGGGGGUUCAUAGCAAAUUUUAUUUAUUUAUUUGUUUAGCAAACUAAGCAAAGAUAUAUAUAAAAGCACAAAAUCUUUAUUUGGGUUUUCAUAAUUAUGCAUCUUUUAUUAUUUGAGUAAAGUAUAAACGCGAGUAGAAACACUUAGCUAGAUAAAUGGGGGUGCUCUCCCCCAAGCUGGAUUUUGACGUAAUUUCUUCUGAUGUAGCUAGCAGGUGGUAGAGGUGUAUUUGAAAGUCAGCAGCAUUCUGACAGCGAUUAGAAUGUCCUCCGUCUGCUAGUCUUCUUGAUUCUUAAAUGCUGUAGAGCUCAAAUAGACAACAAAGCUUUGUGGAACUGGUUAAGUGUUAGCAUAAAUAUCUAGCCUUUAUCAUAUUGAGCCUCCUCAAUAAAUAUUACUUAUUUAGCAGGAUUAUGCAUUUAUUAUUUUUAUAUUUUUUUAUUGUAAGAUGAAAACUUAUUUAUUUUAUUUUUAUGCCACCACAGAGAAUGUACUUAUGGGUUUUAUGCCAUGAGCAUACUCACAUGGGGCUUACUAUUGUUUUAACAUUUUUAUUUUUAUUUUUUUUUCAAGAUAGCAUGAACCUGAUUAACUAAGCAAACUAUUGAAUGGAAAAGGAUAACUACCAAGUUUACCUCUUGGCAAGGCGUUCGGUGUUUUUAAGUCCUCCGAACGGGACUCCUUGUGUUUUCAGUCGUCCUGGGAUUCGCUAGGUGGCGUAGUCGGUGAUUCCGGCGGCGCCUCUUCUUCGUGUAUAACUAUCUUCUCUCUCCACACCUGACUCGGUGCUACAGUCUCCUCAGGACAGUUCUGUUCAAGUUGUAUGUCUUCAGACCUUAUCACUUCUCCUUCGUAGUCUACCCCAUCCGUCCUUGAUGAUUUGCCUCCUCUGGUUGCGGUUGCGUUGUCUUCUUCUUGUCCUGACCUACUUAGAGUCUUCAACUAUAUAGUUAAGGUCAGUAAAAUAGCGGCAUACCUUCUUAGAGGAGAAGUGUACGUGGACUUCUCCGAUUCCAAUAUAGAUGAUGGCUUUGAUAGUGUUGUGGAACGGUCUUCCAAGGAUGGUGGGUGGAUCAUACUCGUCUUCUCCCAUGUCAAUGACCUGAAAAUCAUCUGGAGCUGAAUGUAUCUUGGUUGUAGGAGCAUGGUUCCAUGCAGAGCUGAUAAGUGACUGUGGCCAUUAUGUUAUCGUCAGAUCCGGUGUCGUAGAGUGUCUUCUGAAAAGAGUAUCCAUUGAUUGCGCACUCGAUGCUUGAAACACCAGGGUCGUCCUUCUUGAUCAGGAAAGGCGAUUUGAGUCGACGAUCUUGACCUCCUCCAACAAGGAUCCAAUGUUUUAAGUCUUCUAGACAAGACUUCUCACCGUCUUCAUCCUUUAGGUGCAUCAUUUGAUUAGGUGUGGACCUUGAUGUCUGCACCUCUUGAUACGGAGUCAUCCUUGUUCUUUGUUUGCUCAGCAGUUCAAAGUGCGGUGUUGGCAAUAUCCUGCUUAGUGUGUUUGUGCUUGUAGAUCUAGGUCCUUCACUUGGUGGAAUUUGGGAGUUGUAAAACUCCUCCAUGUUUUGUUUGAAGUGUACCUAUUCAUAGAGACAAGGCAGAGAUCAAGUGCAUGGGCCCUGUUGGUGGAAAACACCAACAGAACCAAAAGUGUAUUUGUUCUUCUCUAACCUUAAGCAUAGUGAGCAAGACAAAGUUGAUGGAUCAUGAGUGUAGCAUUUAAAACAUUUGUUAGAUCAGAUGGCUCAACCUAAUGGAAAGAUAAUCUAUCUAUAUUUAUGUUUUGUUUAUAUCUUCCAAAGAUUUAAAUGUACAACAUUUUAGCUUAUAUGAUUAGGAGUGUGGGAUCACGAAGGUAGUACUAAGAACAAAGAUUAAAGGACUAAACAUGUUGAAUUAAUUGAGUUGGUUAAUUUGGAGUUACAGAUCAGACAUGUUUGUCUCUUUAUUUAUGCGAAUGCUAGAACCAAGGAGAAACUUAUAAAAAUGAUAGUCAAGUACUUUAAGAUGUUACCUUAAUUGAAGAGUGAUGGUAUAGUAUCACCUUGUGGAAGCUUUCCUUUCUUAGCGGUUGUGCAUCGUGUUUGUGGCACCCUCCAUGAAUCAUCUCUUAUGAGCUACGUCUUUCUUGUGCAAAUUGUUAAACUUCAUGUGUCUCCUUUAUCUCCAAUGAGUUUGUAUCUCAGGACUUCCCAGGUUGAUAUUGAAAGUUUUCCUGCAGGGGUUAGUCCAACAAAAUAUCCCAAAUCUACUAUAGCAUACUAUCGGCUCAAAAAUCAACCUAGACACCAUGUCUAAUUUGAUUUAGAAGGGCAUUUUAACCUAAGCACCAUGCUUAAUUUAAAAUCCCUUGGAAGUAAGAUCAUCAUUCCUAAACUAAGCACUAUGCUUAAUUAAGAGAUAAAUGAAACUACUCCAAACCUAGACAUAUACUAAAGCAAAUAAAGGUGGCAUGAGAGCAAUUAUAGAGAUCCUACUCAAGUGGAGGUGAAGUAGUGUAAUUAGUAUUUAACAAAUUGAGCAUCUCUCAAAGGUAGGGACAACCAACAUAGCAACAUGGCGAAGGAUGUUUUUAUGUAAAGUACUCCCCCAAGCUUGAAUUUUACAAAAUUCAAGUUUGGAUGAAUUUAAUUCAAUGUUGCAUGAUGUUUGGUUGGACAUACCUUGUGCUUGUCAUUCAUCCGAUCUUCUUGCUCCUAUCCUAGAAAGGUUAGUGGCAAGAAUACCAGAAGGAAUAUUUCUACGAUUAUCUUUAUAUGCUCAAUAUACAGGGCAAUGUUGCAAAUAAUUAGAAGUUCAUGUUACGAUCUGAUCAGUGCUUGUUUUCGGACAUUAAGCUUAUCCUUGGGAAACCAUCAAGUUAUGUUGGUGAAGUGGUUUCCCCUCCAACGCUGACCUAUAUCAAGAUCAACUCAACAAGAUCUGCAAUAUUUAUUAUAGACAUAUGCAUCGACAACCGCCCUUUUAAAGUUUUUAUAAAUAGAAAGGAAGAGGGGGUUGGAGAUCUCAAAUGUGGUAAGGAUGGAGAGACUAAUUGAUUGGGGAGAUGUUUUAUAUGAGCGAGGUAAGAUAUUUAUGAAAUAACUUCCAUGCUCACUGUUGUUUCUCUUAUUCUCAAACUCCAAGGAUGAUUCUUCAUGAAUGCUUAAAAUUUCUCUAGGAUUGUCUCUCAAGUUUGUUUUAUCUAUCCAUUCAAUGGUGAUAGCACAAGGAUUUUUAAUGCCCUCUAGCCAUUGAUGUUGCUCUUCUCGAUCCUCCUUCUUAUGCAUGGGAUGUCUAGAGAGAUUCAUAGGAUUAUCGGGAGGUUCAAGAGAAAGAGCAUAGUAGAAACUAUUAAGCUUAAGGAUGGGAUGGAUAGCCGAAUCAUGGGAUUGUAAUGUUUGGAAAUUGGCUAUUGAAACUUCCUUUCCUCGUUUGGGAGAUGAUUCCUUCUCUAUCUCUAAGAUUUUUCUAUGAAGACUAGUACAAGAAGGAUCUCCAUGAAUGAAGACAUACCUUCCUUUACUAAUAGAUAAAGAAAGAAGGACUCUACCAAAGGUUAUAAGACCAAUGUGAAAAUAUCUAGGAAAAACAUGGUCUUGUAGGGCUAGGUCUAAACCAGAAUUUAUAGAAAGAUUAACAGAUUCCGUAGGUGUAGCUAAAAGUGCAUUAUCUUCUUGAUUAAAAGAUAGGACCUCGGCUAUAGAAAAGGGUUGGUUUUGACCUAUUGCAAUCAACUCCGGACACAGAUCAUAAUUAGGGGCAGGACGUGUUGACUCCCAUGGUCUAUGGCUGGUCUCCGAAGGUGCAAAGAAUUCAAUAAUAGGUAUGGAAUUUGAGUUAUCCAUAAAGAUAAAAAGAUAAAAGAAUAAAAGUAUAAAAGUAUAAUACAAGAUAAUAGCAAGAUUCAAAGUUAUCUCAGCAAACCGUCUUUCUCCCCGGCAACGGCGCCAGAAAUGCUUGUUGAUAUUUGGUAACGCAAUAAGGAAAUGAUCCGCAAGCGCACGGAUAUCGGUGAGCAUUUCACCCGGGAGGUUAUCCAGAGUUAUCAUAUUUAUAUUUUUACCACUGGGAGAAAGGGUGCAUCUGACUAACCAAAUCUAUUGCUACUACCCCUUUAGGCUACAAAGAAUGUCUCUCGAUGUGAGCGAUGUAUAGAGAAGACUGCAACCGUAGUCUCGUUCUAACCUUGGUAAGGAUGAUCUAUUGUUCUAUUGGGGAGGCUCACGGAAUCUAGACAACACAAAGGAUGUUUGACCCGCACCUAUAAACCUACCCGUCCUGCUAACGAGAUAUGAGAUACAAAGGUAACUCGGAAAUGUCACGUUCCUCGCUACUACCACGGUCCAGCUAGUCAGGGGAUAUCUAUGAGUACCCUAGCCUAAACACCACGUUUAUGCUAGCAAGUGAUUACUCUAAUACUCAACCGGAAGAGGAUUAAAGUAAACUCAUAAACCAAAGAACAAUAAAACAAGAACUUACUAGAAUUUAGAAGUCGAAUUACUGAAGAAUCUUAGAAGCAAGCCUCGGGUUAGGAGACUUGAUCCCGCAGGUACAACUCGGAGUAGACACCGACAAGCCGGCCUUCCUCUGAUCCACACCUCCACUCUAUCUCUCUCAAUCUAGUAGAAACUAGAAGAUCUAUUUCUACUUACAUUGGUUGCUAAGCCUAAAAAGAAAUAUUAUUUAGAGAAGAGGUUUUCCUUCGAGGGCACCCCUCAAUCUCUAUGAUAAUUUCUUGUCUUCUCCAGAAGCCAGGGGGGUUUCCUUAUAUAGUCCUCCUCCUCUAUGCAUUUUUGGUUCAGCAGGCGAUGUGGUACUAAACUUUCCACUAUAUCUCAUUAAAAUACACAUAGGCCUUCAUGGACCAAAAUCUGAUUUGGGCCCAAUUAAUCCCGCAGCUCUUUUAUGUGGAGUGCUUCUUUUAUUAAUAUCUCUUGAUUCCGAACUCCAAAUAUAGCAAAUAAUAUAUGCAUUUCGAUCAGCUCGACGAGAUCUUUGUAAUGGUGUACUCCAUUCUGGGAUUGGUGGAAACACCUGGGCGGGCACCGAAGGGGAGAGGGUGGGCGCCCUGCCCCCGGGCCCGUUCGGCCUCCCGUUCGUUCUCGUGGUUUCUGGAGUCUUCUAGAUGAUAGAAAAUUGCGCGGCACGUUAAUAUCUCUAUGUAAACCCGACAUGUGGGCCAUUCUUCCUUAUUUCUUGAUAACCCCCUGCAGAAAUAGACAAACACCAAAACUCGUGGAAUCCUGUCAGAUAAAACCCUAAGUCUAGGUGUUGAUUUCAUUUAGAUCCUUUUCUUUGUUUAUUUGAUAAUUAAAUUUGAUACUUAAGGACCGUCAACAAGCACUCCCCUUGAACUGAUCCCACACCGAAGUGUAGGGGUCACCCCGGGGAAACACCCAACGAAGGCGUGGGCUAGCUCCUAUCAUUCAAAACUGCAAAAGCAGCCCUGCUGGCACCCUAGAAAGGCGUGCUGCCUCGGGACUCAUACACCCAGCCACCCGAGGCGGGGUCACCGCCACUGGUAGGAAUCAUUGUCUCGAUCCCCACCAGGGUCCCGUCACCAAGCUGCUCUCAGCUCUAAUAGUAGCGAGGUUCCCUUCCUUCAGGAUACCCCAUCGAACUGAGCACCCUCCACAGCAAGGUAGGCAUCCCAAACUCUCCUAGGAACUUGCUCUUAUGACGCGAGCUCCUAGGUGCCAACUGAUGGUGAGGGGCCCGCCCACGAGUGGACUUGCGAGCGGUGAGCCUAGUGCGUGCCAUCUGCUAAAAAUAGGAUACCUUGGGUAAGACUGAGGAUUAUCUUCUAUCAUUUUAAAUAAAAUUGGGAAAGAUUUAAAUAAGGGGAGGAAUUAAGUAAUGAUAUGAAAUGAACAUGAUGCAUGCACGAAACAUACGAUCUCACAAACUUAGAAACAAAAGUCAGUACUAAUCGGUAUAUGCGGUGGCACAACACGUUCUCUCAUAACGUAACUAGCGUUCUAUGCGGGAACGUGGUUAGCGUACGUACAGAAAACUCAUUUCAGCCCAACCACAGUAUGAACAUAUAGAACAAAAAUUUAAAACUAUGCACCCCACACACACAGGUACCGCACCCAUGCAUGUGACGUGCCACUACCCACAUCAUCGCCCUAGUGACGGCAUCGCCUCUCUAGAUGGAAUCACCCCCACAUGUGGUACUGUUCCUAGGCACACUAGAUAUGCGUGCAUGACACAGCACCCUAAAGCCCUUCCCUAGAUCGACAGUGUAUCCGAUCAUGUUCUCACAGCUCUCACUUACCGAGGUGUAGGGGAAAAGUGAUCCAUACAUUACCACUCAAAUGAAUGGCACUCAUACUAUUACACGCCGUAGGAGCGACGAAAUGGAAAUAUGAUGCAUAACCCCCAAUCCAGUACUUAACUAGCCACCUUAGAGUCCUUAACUGGGCAUAAAGGAUAUGACCAUUGGCACACUGUGUAGUUUUCCAAAAACUCGUUUUAACACAUUGAUUAUCAUUAAUUGGCAAUUAACUUUUAUUAACCUGUUUAGGUUUGCUUUAGGACGUGCUUAUGAACAGUAAUCCGCUGAACCUUGCUCCGAAGCCAGCUGUAACAGAACCGCCCAAAUUAUAAGAGAUUAAGCCUGAUAGCGACCAUUUGCAUAGUCAACUUGCCAAGCUUAAGCCCAUAUAAUCCCGGUACCCCGUGAAAUCUCGAAGGAUUUCAAAUCACAUUUGUACAUACAGCCAAGAUCGUAACAAGUCCAGCCAUCACCAUCCACAAAUACAUUCAGUUCGCAACAUUCAUAGAUUACAUCGGAGUUCAAAUAUAGUUAUUACAAACCAAGUUCAAGAGUAGCGGAAGCAUUUCAGUUUUAAGAUAACACACACACUUAGUCGGAUACAGUGCCAUAGUUUGGUCAUUCCCACAAUAGCAAAAGAAGAGGUAGAGUGACCAUCACCCUUGGUCUAGUCAUCACCCAUUGCUGGGUACAAGCAGUGAAUGCAAUACCCGUAAUAUAUCUGCCCAUCUGCAAAAUCAACAUGAGAAUGGAACCCUGAGCACGAGAAUGUACUCAGCUAGACUUACCCGUCAUAAACCAAAAAUAGAAGACUCUUCAAGGAUUAUGAAGGCUGUAUAGUGGGGUAGCUGAACCCUUUUGGUGUAAAAGCAUUGAACCCUUUUAGCGUAAAAGCAUUAACCAUCUAGAAGUAUAUCUUGACAUCCCCUUUUCUUUUAUAUAGCUCAAGUUAGGUAUUAAUACCUACCAUCUAGAUUUGCACCUGUACUAUUGCAAACAAUUUGUUAGGAUAUGAUAAUAUCUUAUCAUAGCAUUCACAGUUCAUCAUUUAUCAUAACCCAAGUGUUUCAUAGUCCUUACUACGAGGACAGGGCUCAUGUCAAGUGCUCACUUUCCAGGAGCGAUGGCGAUUCGAAUCGAUUUCUAACCAGCUGGCGAGUUUAUUCCCCACACAAACCACACUCACUGAUCAAGUGAGCUACAGAUCACCAUAUUACAUUAUCUAGGACCAAUUUGCGGGUUCGACAGGCACCGCCUGUAUCCGAGGACCGUUCCGACUACUGAGGUAUCCAAGGUAUACCAAGGAUGCGCGCUGUGCCCUCGUCGUUCUCCUCAACCAGCACCAAUACAACGUGUACAUCGGGCCGAUUCCUGGCCCGGAUAGUGUUCAGGCUUCACGGUCGAAACGACUUAUCCUUCUAGCCAAGUGUGGGGCUUGCGGUCAACAUGACAAGAGGGCCGUCAACGAUCGGUUCUUAAUCGACGCAAGCAGGGGCACUACGGUCAACACCACCAUAAGACCCUGCCCGGUCUCAAAUUCAUUCCCACACUUGGUUACUUUUCACCAUAGCAUUGACAGCUUAUCAUUCAGGUAUCACCCGACUUCUACCGUGCUAAGCAAGCUAAGCAUAGACUCCGAGCCUAUCUACUUAGGACAAGGUAGAUAAACAGUGGUGAUAACAAGGAGUAAAAAUGCAUCAACGGUAUCAAGCAACUCCUAUCACUUAAUGCAACAUAGUAAAAACAACCAUGAUAUAAGUAUAUAACAAAUUAAGUUAGCGAGAAUAGGGAGACUAAGAAUGCUCUGGGGCUUGCCUCUCUUGAAGGUGCUAGGCCUAUGGUCCGGGCACUCCUGUAGAUCCCCUUCCGGCUCUAGUCCUUCUGGAAGUUCCUGCUCCUGUGUCACCUCCUUCUCCACGGGUCCCACCUCGUUCUCCUACGAGCCUGUAUGAUGCAUGUGUGCUCAUGAGUGGAGUGUAAGAUGCCUGAGGUGCAAUUCUUAUACAAAUUAGGACAACAUGAUCAUGGCAUGGUGUAUAGAUGAAACAUGAAACUAUUUCUACAAUGUAGUCAACAUCAUCCAAGAACAUGUAACCAAAGUAAAGCAUCUAUUGCAUUCUCUUCUACAAGUUAUUAUUCACCAGCAAGCUACCCUGAUGCUUCAAAGAUACACCAAACACAUUGCAUUCUAUUCAUCUCAUGCAUAACAAGGGUUUAAUUAAUUAAUUUAUUAUUAAACCUACAACAGUAGCCUAUACUUCUGUGCUUCAAUAAUUUCAACAAAAAUUACAGUAGUUACUGGUUACUUAUAAAGUUCAUCACCAAAUUUUUAUAACAUUUGGGCAGGUAACAUGGCCCACACAAAAAUCACAAAUUUAUUAGCAUAAUUAAGUGUAAAUACCCUACUGGUGAUAAAGUGUCAAACAACAGAUUUCGUAUUUUUAUAAACUGCUUCUUAACAUAAGAAAUGUCCACAAAAAUUUCCAGAUUAUGUGCAUGAUCGAAUUAUUUCUUAAAAAUCAUAAACCACUGCUAUGCAAGCAUUUAAAUCAUUAUAAAUUAAUCUAUACAGCAAAUAUUGUGCUACGUAUUUUUCACAGAGACUACACAUCCAUGCAAAGCUAACAAAACAAGAAUUACAAUUUUCUGAGUUGUAUUCUAUUUACUAUGCAUUUUCUAAAUAACAAUAAAAGCAUCAAAUAAAUAUUUUUACACAGAAAUUUGUACAAACAUAACAUGCAUAGGCACCAUAUUCUAGAUCUUGAUUAAUAGAACAUGUCAAACUUUAUUUCAACAUUUUUGGAGCUAUAGAUCUCAAGAUAUGGAUUUAAUAUGAUUUAAAUCAUUUUUGAGAAAUCAUUUUAUGAAAAUCCAUUUUAAAUCAGCCCCGAGUUCGGCUAGGUGCACCCAGUGCAGUGCACCCGCCCUCAACGCGAGCAUCCGAUAGGUGGACCACGGUCCCACGCGCCAGCCACCACAGAAGGGGGAAAGAACUCCAGCGAGCCGGAGCUCAUCGCCGGUGACCUCUUUCGGCGAACCGAGUGCUCGUACGCGUUCUACGGCUCAAGGCGAACCCGAUGAGCCCCUAUGCGCGACCUAGGACGGACCGGAGUGAGCUCGUCGCUGGCCAUGGUGGAAUGGUGGUGCUGCUCACCAUCGACCCGAGGCGCUGGCCCGGUAGAGCGCGUUUGGGAGGGUUUAGGAGCUUUCCGGUGGAGAGGCGAGCAAGAUGCGCUAGCUAGGAGGCGCAAAAAGGCAGGGUGGCGCGCUGGCCACACGCGCAGCACGGCGCUCUCGCUAGAGAAGAAGGCGAGGGCGAGCAGGGUCUCACCGUGCGUUACCAGGCGCUUGGAGGCGUGUCCCGCAAUGGAGAAGCGAGAGCGGAGAUCGGGGAAGGAGGAAUCGAAAAAAUGGCGCACGAGUUGAGGAAGAACGGUUGGAGCAGAGCUCGGGGCUCCAAUGGCGAUGGUGGUGCGAUGCGCGCGCGGAGCGGAGGCGAGAGAGCGAGAGAGAGAGCGAGGAGGCGCGCAUGGAGUGGAGGAGGGAGUGGCGAGUGCGCUGGCGCUGUCCACGGGCGGAGGGGGUAGUCGUGGCAUCGGCGGGCGCGCAUGCCGGCCACGCGGCGCCGCUGGCCUGACGCGGUCGGGCGCGCGCGACUCGGCCGUGUCUGAGCGCGGGAGGAGGGAGGGGACGCGGGCGCGGCAAGGCUGGGCCGGUUGGUUGGCGCCGGCCCGCCAGUGAACACCCCCCUCUUCCAUUUUUUUAAAUUCUUUUUCCCAAAAGCUUAAAUGCAACUUUUGAAGCCAUUGCAAAGUUUUUCAGGAGUUGAGGUAAAAAGAAGAAAUAUUCCCCACAAAAUACUUUACCACUUUGUUUUAAGGUGCAUGUCUAAAUUCCAAAUAUAAUUUGAAUCACAAAUUAAAACUAGUGUUAGGUCUUUAAAUAAAUCUAUUUUGGAAAAUUUGUAUAAAAUAUAUUUCUCAAAUCCUAGAGAUCCAAAAAUGUCACACAAUUAUUCUUAAUUCUUCUAAAGCAUAAUUCAAUUUAUUUUGGUCACCACAAGCAUUUUUGAAGUAAGCAUACUAAUUUAUUAUACUUAAAUUCAUUUAAAUCAAGCACAUAAAAUCACACUUAAAAUGUUACUUAUGCUCAUGUGAUGCUAUGCUUAUGCUUGACAAGAGUGCUUAUGAGUAGUGUAUGAGACUAAAUGCAUGCUUAACACCUAGGGUGCUACAGACUCGUCCCUCUGAAGUCAUUGGAUCAGAUCUAAUCGGUGCAGAUUGCUCAUUAGCUAAACCCAAUGUGCUUGGAGGGGAAGUAACCUCUGUACUCGCAACGGCUGAAGGAGCCGAUGGAGCCGUGACUGUUGACAAUCCUGGCUGAUGAUAAGCCGGGCCAACAUAGAGUGGUGGUGACUGUCCUUCUUUAAAAGUUUGGACCACAGCAUUAUAAACAGUAUUGGAUAGCACAUUGGAGUGAUUGAUCAAAGCACGAUUAAUAUCAUUAUUAACCUUGUCUUGCAAUUUACGAGGAUUGGAAUCAAAGGUAACCUGCAUCGGCAGAUCUUGCUUCUGGAUAACUUCCCCGCUCCUGUUCAUGCUGAAGGAUUUUAGACAAAGUUGUUUGUAUUCCUCCAUAGCCCUCUCCAUAGCUUGCUUCUAUUCUCCGUGUCGAGCUUAGAAGUAGCCAUGCCGAUCUUGUUGAUAAUAUUUGUCCCACUGAGCGUGCCAAAUGAUGUGUUGAUGCAAAAUAGAUCUGUAAACACAAAGGGCUAAUACCCAAUUCUAAUGUUGAGGCGUGCCAGUCGAUUUGACCUCACAAUCGACAAAGGUGAUAACUUGAAUACUUUGGUCCUGACAACAGCGAUGCGCCCAGAUGUCAUGGCCAAGAGGUACUCACGCGGAACUCGAGAAUUCGUCGAGUAUUGCUCGUUGAAUCCCUAAAAACUCGUAGACAAAAGAAAGUGUGCGAGUUGACGAAGUUGUCAAAAAAGUAGAUGUAAAAAAAGAUGUAAAACUUGUGUAUGAUAUUGAUUGAUUGUCCUUCUUACAUUGCUGCUAGGUCUACAUUUAUACCCUGACCUAAAGAGUUACAAUCGUAUAUGACUAGGAUUUAAUUCUAAACAAAACAAGACACUUACAAAAGGCAUACUUUAAUAAAUAUGGAAAACAACCACCUAUCUACUCCGGUGUAUGCUUCAUCGGCAUAUCCUUGUUGCCUCCUUAGCAACUUCAACGCCUCCCUUCAUCGGCACCGGCCUACUCGCUAUAGCCUCCUCAACAACUUCCACACCUUUCUUCAUCGGUAUCAGCGAUCAUCGGCAUUGGCGAUCAAUCGGCAAUGAUCAGUAACCACCAUCUUGACCCUUAGGCCAGCAACAUCCUCCACCUAUCAUCCUGUCAUCGGCAUCAUCGGCUAUCGGCAAUCUUCUUAUCACCUUGAUACAACAUUUUCCUAACUGCCGAUCAGUUCUUCCUAACCAUCUUGACUUGUGCCUAAAAACAGUGUCAACACCAAUAUUAUUGCUCAGUAUGGUGCCUUCGUUGAUGAUGCAGUGGGGGCAGAUGAUGAAGAGGAUGCGGCAGCAGCAGAAGAUGUGGCAGUUCAUGCUAAUGCUCUUAGUGAUGCCAUUUGCGAUGCACAAAGAGAUUGUGAAUGUGAGAAGGAGAAGGCCAAGUUCGAGCGUGUGCUAGAGGAUCACAAGAAAUUGCUAUAUCCGACCGCUAAAGAUGGGCAAAAAAAGCUACGUACAACACUUGAACUACUUCGAUGAAAGGCAAAGAAUGCUACAUCCGACAAGUCAUUUGGGCAGUUAUUGAAGAUCAUGAAAAAGAUGCUUCCGAGGGCAAACGAAUUGCCCACCACUACGUACGAAGAAAAGACAGUUGUCUGCCCUUUGGGAUUAGAAAUCUAGAAGAUACACGCAUGUCCUAAUGACUACAUCUUGUACCAUGGUGAGGAAUACGAGAAUUUGGAUGCAUGCUAUUGACGGUCCUUAAGUACCAAAUACAAUCAUCAAAUAAAUAAAGAAAAGGAUCCAAAUGCAACCAACACCCAGACUUAGGGUUUUAUCUGAUAGAAUUCCACGAGUUUUGGUGUUUAUCUAUUUCUGCAGGGGGUUAUGAGGAAAUAUGGAGGAAAGGCCCACAUGUCGGGUUUACAUAGAGAUAUUAACGUGUCCCGCCCUCUCCCGUUGGGCGCCCGCCCAGGUGUCUCAGCCAAUCAGGCUGAGUCUCAUGGAUCAUGCUCCACCGACCUAAAGGAUUAAGGAAAACCGUGCGAUUAAGGUCGGUUUGAUCCGACGGCCCAUAUUCAUUUGGAGGGGCUAUAUAAGCAGGCCCCAUGGCCCCUAGAGGAGGGCAAUCCCAUUAUUCAUUAGCAUAUUUUCUAGAGAGGAUUCAGAGAGAGAUGUCCCUCUAGGGUUCCAACCUCAUAGGGCUUAGCAUCCAAUGUGAGAUUAGAAUUAGUUCUUCUAGAUUGAGAGAGAUAGAGUGGAGGUGUAGAUCGGAGGAAGCCCGACCUGUCAGUGUCUACUCCGAGGUUGUACCUUAAGGUAACACCUUAAGGUACUUGAAUAUCACUUUUAUAAGCUUCUCCUUGGUUCUCGCAUACACAUAAAUAAAAGAGACAAACAUGUAUGAUUUGUAGCUCCAAAUUAACCAACCCAAUUAAUUCAACAUGUUUAGUCCUUUAAUAUUUGUUCUUAGUACUACCUUCGUGAUCCCACACUCCUAAUCAUAUAAGCUAAAAUGUUGCACAUUCAAUCUUUGGAAGAUAUAAAAAAACAUAAAUAUAGAUAGAUUAUCUUUCUAUUAGGUCGAGCGAUCUCAUCUAACAAAUGUUUUAAAUGCUACACUCAUGAUCUUAUUAUCCAUCAACUUUGUCUUGCUCACUAUGCUUAAGGUUAGAGAAGAAAAAAUACACUUUUGGUUCUAUUGGUGUUUUUCACCAACAGGGCCCAUGCACUUGAUCUCUGCCUUGUCUCUAUGAGCAGGUACACUUCGACCAAAACUUGAAGGAGUUUUACAACUCCCAGAUUCCACCAAGUGAAAGACAUGGAUCUACGAGCGCAAACACACUGAGCAGGAUAAUGCCAAUGCCGCACCUCGAACUGCUGGACAAACGAAGAACAUGGGUCACACCGUAUCAAGAGGUGCAGAUGUCAAGGCCUACACCUAAUCAAAUGAUGCACCUAAAGGAUGAACACGGUGAGAAGUCUUAAAACAUUGGAUCCUUGCUGGAAGGUAAAAUCAGUAUUUAUCCAUAUUUAUCUUUUCUGCAUUCCUUUUCCUUUUUAUUCCAUCACUUGCAUUAGCAUAUUUACUUUUCCACAUUAGCAUUAGAAAAGAAAACAAAAAUAUUUGUUCGUUGCACUGCAUCAUAAAAUCUAAAGCCCCAUGUGAGUAGACUUGUGGUUUAAAACCCAUAGGUAUAUUGACUGUGGUGGCAUAAAAUAAAUAUGUUUUCAUCUUACAAUAAAAAUAUAAAAAUAAUAAAUGCAUGAUCCUGCUAAAUAAAUAAAAUUUAUUAGGAGGAAUCUCAAUGUGAUAAAGGCUAACACUUAACCAGUUCCACAAAGCUUUGUUGUCUAUUUGAGCUCUACAGAAUUCAAGGAUCAAAGAAGACUAGCCGGUGGAGGACAUAGUAAUCGCUGUCAGGGUGCUGCCGACAUUCAAAUACACCUCCGUCACCUGCUAGCUACGUCAGAAGAAAUUACGUCAAAAUCCAGCUUGGGGGAGAGCACCCCCAUUUAUCCAGUUAAGUGUUUCAACUCGCGUUUAUACUUUACUCAAAUAAUAAAAAGAUGCAUAAUCACGAAAACCCAAAUAAAAAUUUUGUGCUUAUAUAUAUCUUUGCUUAGUUUGCUAAAUAAAUAAAUAAAGUGUCUAGGCCAAACUGAACUUAAAUGAUAAACUCUUACAUGGAUAUGAUAAAAGUUCCUCUGCCAUGUACCUAGUUUUCAUGUUUGAGCUCUCUCUCAAGUUUAGAAAUAACUGUUAAAAUUUAAACCUGCUCUAAAGCUAAACUUGUGGGAAGAGUACUUGAUCUAAAGUCUAAGUCGUUAACGGAUACGAUAUGGAAAUGUUGAGCUGUUGUUUAUCUGUUCCUAGAGUUGCUAGAAUUCUAGAGAAUAUUAUCUUUGAAAAUCUUUAAAAUAUUGCAUGAUGAGUUCCUGUAUGAUAAGAGUUUAAAUUCCUACCACAACCAUACAUCCAUGCUUAUUAGACUAAGAACCAUACAUUUACUUUUCACUACUUAUGAGCAUUGAGUGUGGUCAAGCUGUGUAGACCCUUAGGAGCUUGUCAUGCGGUUAAAAUCAAGAUCCACUUGCACGUUCACUCACACAUGCUACUUCUACACCGGAAGUACGCAUCCACAUACAUCCACUCAAUUCCAUCUCCAGAUUCACCUAAAAUUAUUCUACUCCUAUCCGGGAGAGAAUAGCCAAAAACUUUUCCUAUCCAUGUUAUUCCCUGUGAAAUAAUGCUCGAGAUAUUUUGGUUACUACCACUUGCUAUAUUAUUCUAGGAGGAUGAGUGCUCUGAAAAAAAGGAAAAAUAUGAGGAAAUAAAAAGGGGCAAGUGCCCGGAACCUUGAAGAAAAGAAAAAGUGAGACGAGAGGUAAAAAUGGACAAGUGUCCGACAGUAGAAUUAGGGGUACAAGAUACCCACCUGAGAGAAAAGAAAAAAAUAUAUAGAGCAUCUCAUUCUCCUCAAAAAAGCUUCAAAGUGCAAGAAAGGUAUGUAUCCUCUGAAAAGAGCAAAAGUAGAAUUAGACUUUCACCAUUGUUAUCACCAUCAUCACCAUACACCAUUCACUCGCCACACAUGCACAUCUUGAUUUGACUUAUUGACUUGUUCUUCUGGAUCCAUGGUUUGACUAUGCAAUAAAUGUCUUGUAAGUAUGUAUUAUCUGUCUCCCACCUAUGAGCUCCAGAUAUCAAAACCUUAUUAGAGUAGGGUGAGAGAGAAGGCAAUAUCACUAUGCCUCAUACCAAAAAUACCACAUACUUUGACAGAAGGCAUAUACCAUUACUGCCUUAGAAAUGAUCCAGAAAUACCACAAAAGAGAGAUUUGAGAGAGUCAUACAAGGAAUCUCUGAGUUUUAUUUGAAAAUCUGCAAAAACUCCAGAGCUAUAGUUGAUCAAAGAACAAGAGACAUGGCGCUUGACUAGACUGUUCUAUCUUUUAACUACUCAAGACACAAGUGACGGUUGCAAGCCCCAUGGUGAAAGGUAAAAUGAGUAAGUUUUAAGUCUUAACAGUUUACUCUAACUCAGAGAUGAGAUCUUGCUUGAACGCAUGUGUAUUUUUAAGGCAUGAAACCACUGCAGAAACACUUGAGUCCAUCCUUGCUCAGGGACGAGCAAGAGGUAAGCUUGGGGGAGUUUGUUGACGGUCCUUAAGUACCAAAUAUAAUCAUCAAAUAAAUAAAGAAAAGGAUCCAAAUGCAACCAACACCCAGACUUAGGGUUUUAUCUGACAAAAUUCUACGAGUUUUGGUGUUUGUCUAUUUCUGUAGGGGGUUAUUAGGAAAUAUGGAGGAAAGGCCCACAUGUCGGGUUUACAUAGAGAUAUUAACGUGACGCACAAUUUUCUAUCAUCUACAACACUCUAGAAGCCACAGGAACAAACGGGAGGCCAAGUGGGACCCAGGGCAGGGCGCCCGCCCUCCACCCUUGGGUGCCCGCCCAGGUGUCUGAGCCAAUCAGGCUGAGUCUCGUGGAUCAUGCUCCACCGACCUAAAGGAUUAAGGAAAACUGUGCGAUUAAGGUCGGUUUGAUCCGACGGCCCAUAUUCAUUUGGAGGGGCUAUAUAAGCAGGCGCCCUGGCCCCUGGAGGAGGGCAAUUCCAUUAUUCAUUAGCAUAUUUUCCAAAGAGGAUUCAGAGAGAGAGGUCUCUCUAGGGUUCCAACCUCAUAGGGCUUAGCAUCCAAUGUGAGAUUAGAAUUAGUUCUUCAAGAUUGAGAGAGAUAGAGUGGAGUUGUAGAUUGGAGGAAGCCCGGCCUAUCGGUGUCUACUCCGAGGUUGUACCUGCGGGAUCAAGUCUGCUAACCUGAGGCUUGCUCCUAGGAUUCUUCAGUAUUUCGACUUCUAAAUUCUAGUAAGUUCUUUGUUCUUCUUGUUCUUUGGUUUAUGAGUUUACUUUAAUCUCUUCCAGUUGAGUUUGGAGUAAUCAUUGCUAGCGUAAACGUGGUGUUUGGGUUAGGGUACUCAUAGAUAUCCCCAGUCUAGCCAGACCGUGGUAGUAACGAGGAACGUGACAUUUCCAUAGCUACCUUUGUAGCCCACAAUCCCGUUAGUAUGAUCGGUAGGGUUUAUAGGUGCGGGUCGAACAUCCUUUGUGGUGUCUAGAUUCCGUAAGCCUCCCCAAUAGAACAGUAGAUCAUCCUUGCCAAGGUUAGAAUAAGAGUGCGGUUGUAGUCUUCUCUAUACAUCACUCACAUCAAAUCACAUUGUUUGUAGCCUAAAGGGUAGUAGCAAUAGAUUUGGUUAGUCAGAUGCACGCUUUCUCCUAGUGGUAAAAAUAUAAAUACGAUACUCUAGAUAACCUCCUGGGUGAAGUGCUCACCGAUAUCCAUGCGCUUGCGGAUCAUUUCCUAAUGGCGUUAACAAAUAUCAACACAUGCUCGGUAUGCAAAGCAUCGCGGUAUAAGAUCAAGCGAGAUGAUCCUGGUGAUGUAGAGGGUGAAGAACGUCCCAGCCGGAAGAAAAUCCCUGCCAAGGUUAUGUGGUAUGCUCCUAUAAUACCACGCUUGAAACGUUUGUUUAGAAAUAAAGACAAUGCAAAGUUGUUGCGGUGGCAUAAAGAAGACCAUAAGGUAGACAAUAUGCUCAGGCAUCCAGCUAAUGGAUCACAGUGGAGAGCGAUAGACAGAGAAUUCCAAGAGUUUGCACAUGAGGCUAGAAACUUGAUGUUCGCUUUAAGUAUGGAUGGUUUAAUCCUUUCGGGGAGCAGAGCAGCAGUCAUAGCACUUGGCCAGUCACUCUCUACAUCUACAACCUUCCUCCAUGGUUAUGCAUGAAGCAGAAGUUCAUUAUGAUGCCUGUGCCCAUCCAAGGGCCGAAGCAACCUAGCAACGACAUCGAUGUGUACCUGAGGCCAUUAGUUGAGGAACUUCUUCUUCUAUGGAGCAAGCCAGGUGUACGCGUGUGGGACAAGUACAAACAGGAACACUUUGACCUACGAGCAUUGUUGUUCAUCAUAAUUAAUGACUGGCCUGCUCUAAGUAAUCUUUUAGGCUAGACAAACAAGAGAUACAAUGCAUGGACACACUGUUUCGAAGACCUUGAUAGUAUAUUUUUGAAAAAAUGUCGAAAGAUCAUGUACAUUGGCCACCGUCGGUUUCUUCCUCUGGGCUACCUAGUAAGAAAGAAACACAAACAUUUUAAAGGCAUGGCAGACCAUCGGACUAAGCCUCGUAACCGAACUAGGGAUGAUAUACUCGAAAUGGUGAAGGAUAUGAAAGUAGUUGUCGGUGUUUUCCCCACGGGAGGUCACACCAACGAGUGAAUUUGUAUGCGUGCUUCCCUUUCCCAGAUGGUGAUGCAAAAAGGCACAAGGAUUUAUCCUAGUUCGGGCAAGAGAAGGCCCUACGUCCAGCGGGGGGAGAUAGUUUGUAUUAUUUUGCACCUAAGUGCUUGUACAGGGGCGAAUACAAGCGUGGUAUGGAGUAUGGGAGUUCUACUGCGUAUGAGCGUGGUGUUGCCUUGUUCCUCAUGUCCUGUGUUCACUCCCAGGUCUCCCCUUUUAUAGUUCCAAGGAGAGACCUAGGGUACAUAUAUAGGUGACAGACUAGGGGUCAAUAGAGGCCUGGCGCGCUGACCUACUCGAGGCUUCCGUACUGGCGUGGUCUCGAGCCGUCCCAUCCUGGUAGCUUGAUGAUGAUUACGUGUGCCCUUAUAUCCCACUCUGUAUGCCGUCUUGGACUGGUUUGUCCGUUGCACGCCUAUACGUCACGGCAGCUGAUACGUCGGAGUGGUGGCAGUGCCGUCAGUCGAUGCCCAACCCUUCCCCAGGAAGGAAGCAUGUCUGGUCGAGGGUCGGACGCCAGGUAGCGCCUUGCUAUCCAGAGUAUUGACUUUUGGAGUCUCGAGGGGGUCCUGACUAGACGUUCCAUCCCUGCUUCCUGCGUCCUGACAGGCUCUGGGUCGUUUGGAGGGGAAGGCUGCAAAAAGAAUGACGAGACGGAUGCCUGUUCCCCAUCACGCUUCCCGUGACUGGCGUGUUAGGUGGGAAUGCGACAGGCGCAUUAAAUGCUCUGGCUCCCGUGCGCGUGUCAGGCGGCGGGCGGCGUCCUGGCGCUCGACGCCCGCCGAUUCGCUCGAGCCUGUUUCCGUAUUCGACGGUAGUUGGCGCUCGAGCCCUGCUUGAUUCGCUCGACGCCCUUUCCGUCUUCAAGGCUGAGGUCGUCGAUGACUAUAUGCGUGAUUGUGUAGAGCGUCGAGUUGGGGAUCUCGACUUUCGUACGGACGAUCUCGUUAUGUACAUCAGUUGGGAUACCCGUUAGGCGGCGCAUUUAUGGGGGGUGUUACCUCUUUUAUCGGGUCUGUCUGUUGGUGGACCGCGGCCUAUAAUUAUCCCAUUGCAUCGCCGGCGUUCUUCCUUCCACCUUCCACCCUGUUGUCUUUUGCUUUCUUGCUGUCUAAGUUCUCUUGCCAUCUUACGCGCGCGCACCCCCUCAAGCAGUAGCGAAUCCGCCAUCCUUCCGGCCAAGAUGCCUGUGAGACUCGUCGCCGCCGACGACUGGCGCCCGUCGUCGAUGACGGAGCACCGGUUGCUGGAGCUUGAGAGGGAGGGACUCCUGCGCCACCGCACCUCCCUGUCGUCGCCGGAGUGGAUCGCGCUGCAAGCGGACCACAGGGAUACCAGGCCGCCCAAGGGCUACGUAGUGUCGUUUGCCAAGUUCCACUGCCACGGCCUGGGCGCUCCUCCGAGCCGCUUCAUGCGGGCGAUCUGCCUCCAUUACGGGGUGGAGCUCCAGCACUUCUCCCCAAACGCUAUCACCGUCGCGGCGGUCUUCGCUGUGGUGUGUGAGGGCUACUUGGGGAUGAUGCCCCACUGGGAGCUGUGGCUCCACCUCUAUAGGGGCGAGCUCUUCAAUGCCCCCACCGAGACCACCGGCGUGAGGAAGCCUGUGCAGGCAGGAUGCCUCAACCUCGUGCUGAAGACGGGGAAGACGGAGAGGCCGCGCGAGUACAUCCCGGUGGGAUUGUCGACGAACCACGCCGGAUGGGACUCCUAGUGGUCCUACUUGAGGAACGACGACAAUCUCCUACCCACCUACACCGGGCGUCUCAUCACGGAGCGUCCAGAGAACUGGACGUACGGCGUCAUUCAAGCUCAUCAGUCUCGGCUCGACCCCCUCCUCGACGCCAUGAAGAAGCUGUGCUUGGAAGGCUUGAUCGCCGCUCUCGUCCUCUCGGCCGUCCAUCACCGGAGAGUUCUCCCAUUGAUGUCUCGGCCGCUGAGGAUGGACGGGAUGGGCCCUAGCGUUUUGUCUCAGGACCUUGAGGCAUGCCGGAUGUCCAACGAGGCUCCGGCGGAUGACGAAGUCGCGGCCCGGGUCAGGGCCGCCAUUGCCGGUGAUUUUAAGCCGGAGCACCUUAACGGCUUCCCCAUGAGGCCUGAUGCGGGCUCGAUCGAUCUGGUAUGCUCUCUUCUCGUGCACAGCUUCGAUUCUAGAUUUCUUUCUACCCCUUUUCUGAGCCUACCUUUGUUCUGGCUGGGACGGAUUGAUGUCCGGUCCUCGAGGCCUCCAGUAAAGGAGGACGAGGUCGACUGUGACGCACGGCGCCGGUCCGCCGAGAAGCAAAAGUCCGUCAAGGACUCUGUGAAGAAGGGGGAGAAGAAAAAGAACCUCGACCGUCAAGCGUUAGAGGCGCGUCGAGCCAAGUCCAGGCAGAGGGGGGAGCCUGAAGAAGAAUCCCCUAGUGAAGAUGAUGGCGGGGACGGUGAUGACGACAGCAACGAUUCCGAGGGUAUGGCGUCUCGCCUCGACCGGAUCCUCAAGGAUCCGUCUCGAGGCGACGUCGACGCCCCGCGGAUGGGAGCGCCAAAGGAGGGGCCAGGCGGAUCUCACUGCCCCCACGCUUACACCCCUCCUGCGCCCGCGACCAGUCAGGCCGCCCCGCGCCCCCAACCUCCCCCUGCACCAAAGGCGGGUGGCCAAGCUAAGCCCCAGGUGACGGGGCCGCUGACCCACGGUCGCGCCGCGGCCUCCGAGAAGGGAGAGACCGGCCGCAGGAGCGCCAGUCUCGGCGCCCGCCAGGCGGGAGUUACUGGGCCAAGGCCAGCGCCUGCCCUCGAGGGGUCCGGGGCCUUAACGCGGGGUGGUUCGAGGCCCACCGGUCGAGGUACCGGUAGGCGUGCCGUUCUCCCUGUGGGGUAAGUCCUUCGACGCUGUGGUUCUUAUUUUCCUAAUUCUUCAUGUUUUCUCGUAUAACGGUCUUCUUUAUGCCUGUCCCUCUUUCCUCAGGUUAAAGCGGACGCUUGAGCAGGCCCAGCCUUCGAUGGCAAAACAGCUCAAGGUGGGAGCGGCCUCCAAGGACAUAGGUUAGCAGCUUAUUCAUGGGAUUUGUGUCAUCCUUACGUUGGUCAUUAUAGCGGCUGACCUUUGUUUUUUGUUUUACAGGUUCCUCCGACCCUCAGCUGCCGACUGGCACCGAGAGCGCCCCACCUCGUCCCCCGACGGGUGAUCCUGCCCCGUUGUCGCCAAAACAAACCGAGGCACCCCGGCCCCGAGGGCAGGAAGGAGCCCCCGAGCCUCCCCGAUCGGGGGUCGAGGGGGAUCCCAUUACCAUUAGUGAUGGUUCUGGCGGCAACGGGACCUCGAGGGACGCCCAUCCUAUGGACGAGGAGGCCCAGACUUCUCUCGUCGUGGGACGGAUGCCCUGGCCUACCGGGCUUCGCUCCAUCGAGGAGCAGAAGAAGAAAGAAGAGGAGGAGCACGAGCAGGAGACGCGGCGGCAGCUGCAGGAGCAGGACCGCUGAUAAGAGCCGCAGGAGCUCGAGGAGCAACAGCAGCAGCAGCAUGGGGGCCAAGAAGAAAGACCGCUCGAGCCCCCGCCUCACAGUCCGCCCCAACCAGUACCACCGACGCCGCAAGAGCCCGGAGACCAGGAAGAGGGUUUGCCAGUUUUCGGCCCUCCAACCCCGGCGUGGCUCCGUCUAGGGGCACCCGCCGCGAUCUCGGCAGAGUCGGGGCGGGCAGACGGUGUGGUGGCGCUUGCCUGCAUGAUGCGCACCCCCGUCGACCCCGAGUCCGAGAUCAGGAGGACGAUCUACGGCAUGGACCGAAUUGCCCCAGGGUUCCUCCGGGAGCGUCGGGCGUGGGAGGUCCGCAUUCCCGCCGAGGAGGAUGAGGGUGGGACGUCGGGUAGUAAAGAUGGCACCUAGAAGACGGUGGAUGACGACGGGCGGUUCCCCUCCCUCGUCGACUUGUUCCUGCGCCAUGGGGGGUCCCUCGAGACCGUCGAGGACCUCAUUCGCGGCGUCAAGGCUUCCACUGAUCCGUCUGAGCCCAACAUCUUCCUGGACGAUCGGAAGGAGGCUGAGAAGUGGGAGCACGUUGAGGUGCUCCGCCUCUGGAUGAAGCACAUGGUGGGGCUCCUGUCAGACGUUGUAAACAACAGGCUGAGGCCAGCCUACAUUGUAAGUCUCCUAGCCUUUUAAUCUUUAGGGCGUUUGUUGGUUUUGGGUUCUAACUGCUCGAUCACCGGUUCACAGGAUUUGAAAGAGACCUCCCGUAUUAAGUCAAGCUUCAUUCACGCCACGAGGGGCGGCUGGGAGCAGCUCCCCCUCCUCAAAGACCAACUCCUGGAGUCGCAGGAGAAACGCCUCCAAGCCUAUAAAGAUCUCUUGGCGCUCGAGGAGGAGAAGAAGGAGAGGGAGGCUGCCCUGGCCGAGGCUCGAGAGGCCUCGAAGAAGGCUGUGGAAGAUGCCGUGCUGCUGAGGGAGCGGGCUCUGACGGUCGAGGAGGCUGCGUCCAAAGCCCGGGAGAAGGCCCUGUCCUACAAGAACGUCGUUGCUGAUCUGGACAAGGAGAAGGGCCUCCUCAAGACUGACUUGGACUCCCUUCGAGAAUCCUUCCAAAGGAUGAAGGUGGAGCAUGUGAAUGGCGAGAUCGCCAGGGGCGCCACGGAGGAAGCCAAGAAGAAGGCCCUCGAAGACCUCGAGGCGGAGCGGACUUGAUCUAGCAGGCUCUCUAACGACGUCGAACGUCUGAAGGGAUAGCUGUUGGAGAAGAGUGGAGCCAUUGCUCAGGCUGGCAAGGCGAUCGAGGAUCUUUGUGUUGCCAACACUGAGUUGGCGCGCUCCAACAAAGAGAUCGAGAGGGCCAACACCAAAUUAGUUGGCGAGAACACGGCCUUGGAGGAGAGUGUCCGUGGUACGUUUCUAUUGUCAGAUUUCUUUUCGAGGUGUGCUCGGUUUUAUCUAAAUUUUUUUGCGUUGGCAUUCACAGGGCUUAAAGACGAGCUCUUGGCCGCCCAAGUCGAGGCUCACAAUGCCCAGGCCCAGCUCGAGGGGGAGGUUGCUUUGAACCGUCAACUGCGGAUGGCGAUAAGCGAUCUCUCGACCUCUUGGGAAGUUGAGCCCUUGGACGAGUCGAAGGAGGAGGCUCGAGGCGACGCGCUGGUCGAUCAGCUGUGCUACUUAGGCGCGACGCUGAGAGAUCGGGUGCGUGACGCUCUCCAUAUCGGGGUAAAGCGGGCAAUGGCGGUUGUCUGCUCGGGCUUUUCCUACGAUAUGGAGGUGGUAUCUCAUGGCUUUGUUACCGAUAUCUCCAAGACUGACGCGGAGAACGAGGAGAGGCUUCAUGCCUUGAUCGACGACGUGGAGGUUCCUGGAGAUAGGCUGGCCAAGCUAUUUGAGCCCGAGGUGCUUCCCCCUGAGACUAGCUCAGGCGUAGGCGAGGGUGGUGAGGACCAUGCUGUGGACUAAGGCCUGCGAGCCUGCUCUAGGUGCCUGGGGCCCCUUGUAUAGUACUGUGUUAACUUGUCUUUAAGUAAUACAAUGUCUUUAAGUGGUUUGUUAAAUGUUUGUCUGUCUUUCCUCUCGAAGCUCCUUUAUUCCUUUUUGCGCCUAUGUUUGUUUUUCUCACUUGGUCUUUUGUUCGAGGCGGUCUCGAUUACCUCAAGGGUGAGGAGACGAGUAGAGUUUCCAUAGCCCGGGGGCGUAGGAGUUCUCAGGCUCGUUGUUUUUCGGUCCUUAAGGGGCUCGAGGUACCUUUACUACUCAACUGUAUGAGAUUGCCGAUAGAAACAAAAGGAUUACUUGGUUUUUUCGACACUUGGGGGGGUCACCCCCCUUGCUAGCCCCCGAGGGGGUGUCGACUAUGAUGGGUCAUAGUCGAUACUCCCUUCUAACGUUGAGACUUUUGAAAACGUAAGUCGCUCGAGGAAAAAACUUUAUUUAUUCAUUUAUUCAUUUACAAGGCCUUGGUACAGAAUGUACGCAGGAACAUAAAGCUUUGAAAUUCUAGGGGUAGAAUCGACAUAGCUGUUCGAUGUUCCACGCGUUGGUGAAGAUCGCCCCCUUUUCGUCCGCUAGCUUGUAUGUCCCUGGCUUCAAGACCUCGGCCACCACGUAUGGGCUCUCCCAAGGUGGAGUCAACUUGUGGCGUCCUUGAUUGCUUUGCCGUCGUCGUAGGACAAGGUCGCCCACGUUUAAGUCCCUCUUGCGCACGUGUUUGUCGUGGUAGCGUCGAAGUUUCUGCUGGUAUCUGGCAGAGUUGAGGAGGGCCAUGUCUCGAGCCUCCUCGAGUUGGUCGACCGCGUUUUCUCGAGUCUCCUUAUUUGAUUGUUCGUUGUAUGCUUUAAGCCGAGGGGAUCCAUACUCGAGGUCCGUUGGGAUCACAGCCUCAGAGCCAUAGACCAUGAAGAAUGGGGUGUAUUUUGUGGCCCUGCUUGUCGUUGUCCUUCGGCUCCAUAGGACUGAGGAAAGUUCCUCGACCCAUUUCUUGCCGAAUUUCUUCAAGCGAUUGUAGAUCCUUGGUUUGAGCCCUUGCAAAAUCAUGCCGUUGGCACGCUCGACCUGGCCGUUAGUUCGAGGGUGGGCCACUGCAGACCAGUUCACCCGAAUGUGAUGGUGAUCGCAGAAGUCCAAGAACUUUUUGCCGGUGAACUGAGUGCCGUUGUCAGUGAUGAUGACGUUGGGAAUCCCAAACCGGUGGAUGAUGUCGGUGAAGAAAAGGACAGCCUGCUCGGAGCGGAUGUUGGUAAUGGGUCGAGCCUCGAGCCAUUUGGAGAAUUUGUCGAUGGCCACCAACAAGUGGGUAUACCCCCCUUUUGCCUUUUGUAGAGGCCCUACUAAGUCUAGCCCCCACACCGCAAACGGCCAUGUGAUGGGGAUCAUCUGAAGAGCAUGGGUGGGCAGAUGUGUCUGUUUGGAGUAGAACUGACACCCAUGGCAUGAGCGCACGAGCUCGAUGGCAUCAGCUACGGCCGUUGGCCAGUAGAAGCCUUGUCGGAAGGCGUUCCCUACGAGGGUCCGUGGAGCAGCAUGGUGGCCACAAGCCCCCGAUUGUAGGUCCUCGAGGAGUUUCCGGCCUUCUUCCACGGUGAUGCAACGUUGCAAGACCCCCGUCGGGCUUCGUCGAUGUAGCUCAUUGUCCUCGCCGUAGAUUACAUAUGUCUUGGCUCAUCGAGCGAUACGGUGGGCCUCGGAUCGAUCUUCUGGCAACUCGCAGCGGAUUAGGCAGUCGAGGAACGGCGUGCGCCAGUCAAACGGUCGACCGGGCUGCUGUUCCACCUCCAUUACUUCAGCCGCCAUUAGUAGCGCUUCGACGUUGUCGGCCUGCUGGGCUGGAGCAGCUUCGACACCAGCCCCCGAGCCCAAGUCGACGGAUGGCUCAUGUAGAUCUCUUGAGAACGCGUCGUGCGGGAUCCUGCCUCGAGUCGACGCGAUCUUGGCGAGUUCGUCGGCUGCCUCGUUGUAGCGUCGGGCGACAUGGAUGAGCUCGAGGCCGUGGAACUUGUCCUCGAGUCGACGGACCUCCUUGCAGUACGCCUCCAUUUUCAGGUCGUGGCAGUUCGAGGCUUUCAUUACUUGGUCGAUGACGAGCUAGGAGUCGCCUCGAACGUCGAGGCGUCGAACUCCAAGCUCGAUGGCGAUCUUCAGACCGUUAACAAGAGCUUCGUACUCUGCAACAUUGUUGGACACAGCAAAAUGUAUCCUAAUGACGUACCUCAUAUGAACGCCCAGGGGCGAGAUGAACAGCAGGCCGGCCCCAGCUCCCGUCUUCAUGAGAUACCUGUUGAAAUACAUCGUCCAUAGCUCCGACUGAACGUGAGUCGGGGGAAGCUGGUAGUCUGUCCACUCCGCAACGAAAUCCACCAGGGCUUGUGAGUUGAUAGCCUUACGAGGCGCAUAAGUGAGAGUCUCACUCAUGAGCUCGACUGACCAUUUGGCUAUUCUUCCCGUGGCCUCCCUACUUUGGAUUAUCUCGCCCAGGGGGAAGGACGAGACCACCGUGAUAGGGUGGCCGAGGAAGUAGUGCUGCAGCUUGCGUCAGGCGAGGAUUGCGGCGUAGAUCAGCUUCUGGAUUUGGGGGUAACGUGCCUUGGUCUCCGAGAGCUCCUCGCUGAUGAAGUAGACCAGCCUCUGGACUGGCAACGCAAGUCCCUCCUCCUGCCUCUCGACAACCACAGCUGCACUGACGACCUGGGUCAUCGAGGCAAUGUAAAGGAGCAGUGGUUCUAUAGGUUGAGGUGGGACCAGGACUGGUGCUGAAGUUAGUGUUUUCUUCAGGUUUUCGAGGGCUUCCUCGGCCUCGGGGGUCCAAGAGAAACGCUCGACUUUCUUUAGGAGCCGAUACAAUGGCAACGCCUUUUCUCCUAACCUUGAGAUGAAACGACUCAGCGCUGCUAAGCAUCCCGUGACUCUCUGCACACCCUUGAUGUCUCGAAUCGGCCCCAUUCUUGUGAUGGCCGAGACCUUCUUGGGGUUGGCCUCGAUGCCGCGCUGGGAAACGAUGUAUCCAAGGAGCAUGCCUCGAGGUACGCCGAAAACGCACUUCUCGGGGUUGAGUUUGAUCUGGUUAGCGCGUAAGCAGCUGAAAGCGAUCUCGAGGUCCUAGAUCAGGUCUCCCCGCUGCUUUGACUUGACGACGAUGUCGUCGACAUAGGCCUCGACUGUCGACCCUAUGUGCUUGCCAAACACGUGGAGCAUGCAGCGUUGAUACGUGGCUCCCGUGUUUCGAAGCCCGAACGGCAUGGUUAUAUAGCAAUACAUCCCAAAAGGUGUGAUAAAAGACAUCGCGAGCUGGUCGGACUCUUUCAUUUUUAUUUGAUGGUAACCGGAAUAUGCAUCAAGGAAAGAAAGGGUUUAACAUCCCGUAGUAGAAUCAACAAUUUGAUCAAUACAUGGUAAUGGAAAAAGGAACUUUCGGACAUGCUUUAUUUAAACUCGUAUAAUCGACACACAUCCUCAUUUUCCCAUUCUUUUUCUUAACUAGUACAGGGUUUGCUAACCAGUCGGGAUGGUGAACCUCCUUGAUGAAUCCGGCCGCCAAAAUCUUGUGGACCUCCUCGCCAAUGAUCUUGCGCUUCUCCUCGUCGAAUCGGCGCAACUGUUGCUUCACUGGCUUGGAACCGGCUCGAAUUUCCAAGGAGUGCUCGGCGACUUCCCUCGGUAUGCCUGGCAUGUCCGAGGGACUCCAUCCAAACAUAUCGGCAUUCGCAUGGAGAAAGUCGACGAGCACAACUUCUUAUUUGGGUCGAGGUCAGCGCUGAUCGUCAGCACCUUGCCAUCGGAGCUGUUGGGGUCGAGCGGGAUCUUGUUGGUUCCUUCCGCUGGCUCGAAGCUGCUGGCGUGGCGCUUGGGCUCUGGAGCCUCAGCGGCCAGGGCCUCGAGCUUCGAGGCGAGCUCAGUGGAACUCUCGACCGCCUCCCCAUACUCGACGCAUUCAACGUCGCACUGGUAUGCAUGCUCAAAGGAGGUGCUGACGGUGAUGACACCCUUGGGUCCGAGCAUCUUCAGCUUUAAGUAGGUGUAGUUGGGUAUAGCCAUAAAUUUGGCGUAGCCCAGGCGCCCGAUGAUGGCGUGGUACAUGCCCCGGAACCCAACCACCUCAAAGGUGAGGGUCUCCUUUCUGAAGUUGGCCGCCGUGCCAAAGCAGACCGGUAAGUCGAUUCGACCCACCGGCAGCGCCUUCUUCCCUGGCACGACGCCGUGGAAACUGCCGGCGCUUGGUUGGAGCCGCCCCCUGUCGAUGCCGAGGAGGUCGAGGGUCUCGAGGUAGAUGAUGUUGAGGCUGCUGCCGCCAUCCAUCAGCACCUUUGAAAGCCGGGUGUUGACGAUGAUGGGGUCGACGACGAGCGGGUAGAUGCCUGGGGCAACUACCUUGUCUGGGUGGUCCUCUCGAUCGAAGGUGAUGGGGGUGCUCGACCAGCAGAGGUACUGGAGCACCGCCAUUCUUGCCACGAAGACCUCACGGCAUUCCCUCUUGCGCUGCCUUGUGGUCAACUACGUCGAGGAGCCACCAUAGAUCAUGUAGCAGUCGUGGACGGCUGGGAAGCCGUCGUCGUCUUUGUUGUCCUCCUUGUUGCCGCCCUUCUCCUUCUUUGGUUCGUCGCGCGCGUCCUUUUUGAACCCCAGACCGUCGAAAUGCUUUUUCAGCAUACGACAGUCCUUGAGCUUGUGGUUGGCUCCUCCCUUAUGGUACGGGCAUGGCUCCUCUAGCAUCUUAUUGAAGAUGCCUCCAUUUGGAGGGCCUCGAGGCCUCUUGCGUUCCAUGGCGGUGACGAGAUCAUCGUCGAAGUCUUCCCUCUGGAACUGCCACGCUUUCUGCUUCUUCUUGUUCUUCUUGGGCCCUCGACUGGGGGUCCCAUCUUCAUCGGUGGGCUGCUUGCCUUUCCUUCCUUCACAGCUAAAGAAGGCACCGACCGCUUCCUCCCCUGCUGCAUAAUUCGCCACUACGUCCAUCAGCUCAUCGACGGUCUGAGGGCGGUUCCGGCCCAAUUCCCGCACCAAUUCUCGACUGGUGGUACCAGAGACAAAGGCUAGGAUGACAUCGUGGUCGGGGAUAUGCGGUAGCUCGGUGCGCUGCUUCGAGAAGCGUCGAGCAUACUCCCGAAGAGUUUCUCCUAACUUCUGCUUGCACUUGCUGAGGUCCCACGAGUUCCCAGGUCGUAUUUAGGUCCCUUUGAAAUUACCCUCGAAAACCCUAACCAAAUCGACCCAGUCGUGAAUCUGAUCGGCUAGAAGUUCCUCGAGCCACCGACGGGCGGUGUCGGAGAGGAAAAGCGGUAGCUGUCUGAUGAUGGCUCGAUCAUCUCCUCGAGCACCUCCUAGCUGACAGGCCAGCCUGAAAUCGGCCAGCCACAACUCUGGUUUGGUUUCACCGUUGUACUUUGCGAUGCUGGUCGGGGGUCAGAACGGACUGGGCAGGGGCGUGCUGCGGAUUGCCCUGCUGAACACCCGUGGGCCUGGUGGCUCGGGGGCCAUCCGGUCCUCAUCGCUGUCAUACCUCCCACCGUGAUGUGCGCUGUAACCGCGCUCUUCCGCGUCCCCAUGCCGACGGCGUCGAUUCUCUUCAAUGUCGCGUCGUGCGUCGUGUCGACGUUGGUUGUCGACGGGGAGGACGAGCGUGGUCUUUUUUGCUCGGGGGGUGGCUGUUGAUGAACCGACACCUCCUUUUCGUUUUGGGCUGGCUCAUCGUGCUUUUCAGCGGCAGCUCCUCGACGUCGUGAAGCCGAGCUUUUGGCUUGUUGAACUGCCGCCACUUGGAGCAGAGUCUGCACCUCAUCUCGAAUGCGUCGAGCUUGGGAGUUCGAUGGUUCUGGCAUGUUGCGCAACAGCAUUGUCGCUGCCACUACAUUCUGGCCUGCUCGAGGGAAACGGCUGACGGGUUGCUCUGGCUCUGCGUCUCCAACGAUUUGCCGGUGUACCUCUCAGAGCUCGUCUACGGACACUUCCGCCAGGCGAGUAAGGCAAGUCUUGCUCGAGGAUUUGCUCGAGCAGGACGAGGCACUCACGAUCCUCGUCAAGCUUUUUCUUGAGCUCUCGUAACUGCGCAAGUUGCGCGGCCCUGUCUUCCUGUGGAAGUGGGUCGACCUGUCCGUCGUUCCCAGGCGUCCUGAGGUCUUCUCUUGCUGUAGGGGGUCGACCACCGGCAGCAGCAUCUUGUGUCUCGUCGGUAGUUUCUACCGCUCCGUCGACAUGAUAGCAUUCCCUAGAAGGGUCGUAGCUAUCGGUCUCGGAGUCGGAAUCCGGUUCGGCGGCGUAGAAACAUCCACGUCCCUCCUCCAGCAGCCACUUCCUAAGCGAGGUGAUCGUAUAUCGCCCAGGGCCUAGGCGUCGGAUGCCUCGUACCUGGGAGAAACCUGGCAGCUCGGACGUCGGCUGCUGUGCUUCAGAGUCACGUGGGAGGACCACUGGUCUCUCUACGUACGUCUGGGCGUUUGGGCAUAUCGCCCUGGCGAGUGACGCUACGGCAUUGUCCAGGCCAAACGGUAAGGCUCCUCUUGAGGUGAACAGCCCAUGUGGAAGUAGCCUGGCGGUGGGGGAGGGUGCGCGGGACGCGUCACCUCCCGUCAUCGUGUGAUCAUCACGGCGCUGAGCCGUCGCGCCCGUGGCGCAUGGGGCUAUCGGCUCUCGUGCCGCCUCCUACCUCGCACGGACAGCCGGUCGUGGCGAGGCAGAUGGGCGACGGUGGUGCUGUCCACGCCUCUUCUUGGGUGGGGACGCGUGGUGGUGAGUACGUCUUGGGGCCCUCAUCCGGGUCGGCGCAACGCGGGCUCCUCCCGGCCCUUUGAUCGAGAGCAAGAUCAUGUCAUAGCCGGAGCCAGUAGACAUGAACUCGAGACUCCCAAACCAAAUCACCGUGGAGCGUGGAAUCGGUGAAGAAAGAGUGGCCAUCUGGAAAGGAGUGGGAAAUCGAUGAAAAACACGCAGGACCCCUACCUGGCGCGCCAACUGUCGGUGUUUUCCCCACGGGGGGUCACACCAAUGAGUGAAUUUGUAUGCGUGCUUCCCUUUCCCAGAUGGUGAUGCAAAAAGGCACAAGGAUUUAUCCUAGUUCGGGCAAGAGAAGGCCCUACGUCCAGCGGGGGGGAGAGAGUUUGUAUUAUUUUGCACCUAAGUGCUUGUACAGGGGCGAAUACAAGCGUGGUAUGGUGUAUGGGAGUUCUACUGCGUAUGAGCGUGGUGUUACCUUGUUCCUCAUGUCCUGUGUUCACUCUUCGGUCUCCCCUUUUAUAGUUCCAAGGAGAGACCUAGGGUACAUAUAUAGGUGACAGACUAGGGGUUGAUAGAGGCAUGGCGCGCUGACCUACUCGAGGCUUCCGUACCGGCGUGGUCUCGAGCCAUUCCGUCCUGGUAGCUUGAUGAUGAUUACGCGUGCCCUUAUAUCCUGCUCUGUACGCUGUCUUGGACCGGUUUGUCCGUUGCACGCCUGUACGUCACGGCGGCUGAUACGUCAGAGUGGUGGCAGUGCCGUCAGUCGACGCCCAACCCUUCCCUAGGAAGGAAGCAUGUCUGGUCGAGGGUCGGACGCCAGGUAGCGCCUUGCUAUCCAGAGUAUUGACUUUUGGCGUCUCGAGGGGGUCCUGACUAGACGCUCCAUCCCUGCUUCCUGCGUCCUGACACGCUCUGGGUCGUUUGGUGGGGAAGGCUGCAAAAAGAAUGACGAGACGGAUGCCUGUUCCCCAUGACGCUUCCCGUGACUGGCGUGUUAGGUGGGAAUGCGACAGGCGCAUUAAAUGCUCUGGCUCCCGUGCGCGUGUCAGGCGGCGGGCGGCGUCCUGGCGCUCGACGCCCGCCGAUUCGCUCGAGCCUGUUUCCGUAUUCGACGGUAGUUGGUGCUCAAGCCCUGCUUGAUUCGCUCGACGCCCUUUCCGUCUUCGAGGCUGAGGUCGUCGAUGACUAUACGCGUGAUUGUGUAGAGCGUCGAGUUGGGGAUCUCGACUUUCGUUCGGACGAUCUCGUUAUGUACAUCAGUUGGGAUACCCCUUACUGAUAUCCUCGACAGUAGUAUUUGGUAAGGGACGGGGCAGCAAACCUGUUCCCAAAGAUGCUCAAGAACAUGCACCCAUGUGGAAGAAGAAGUCCAUAUUUUGGGAGCUACCCUACUGGCAUGUCCUAGAGGUCCGCCACGCGUGAUGCACCUUACAAAGAAUCUAUGUGUGAAUCUUGUCAGAUUCAUGGGUGUCUAUGGGAAACCUAAGGAUUCACUUGAAGCACGACAGGACUUGGAGGAAAUAAAAGAAUGAGGCAACCUGAAUCAGGAAAAGACAGAUGACGGGCGCCAGUACUUAAGCCCUGCUUGCUAUACUCUGAGCAAAGAAGAGAAGGAACGCAUGUUUGAAUGUCUGAAGAGCUUCAUGGUCCCAUCUGGAUUCUCCUCCAAUAUAAUGAGAGUAAUUAAUGUGCAAGAGAAGAAGUUCCUAAACUUGAAGUCCCAUGACUGCCAUGUGCUUAUGACGCAAUUGCUUUCUAUUGCUCUAAGAGGAAUUGUACCUCCGCAUGUACGUCUAGCCACCAUGAAGUUAUGUGCAAUCCUCAAUGCAAUUUCUCAGAAGACAAUCAAUCGAGAUGAACUUGCUACUCUGUAGAAUGAUGUCGUUCAAUGUCUCGUUAGAUUUGAGUUGAUGUUCCCUCCAUCCUUCUUUGAUAUCAUGACACACCUCCUAGUUCACCUGGUCAAGGAGAUUAUAAAUCUCGGUCCUAUGUUCCUUCACACCAUGUUCCCCUUUGAGAGGUUCAUGGGUGUUCUGAAGAAAUAUGUUCAUAGCCGCUCUCGGCUAGAAAGAAGCAUUACCUAGGGCUAUGGCACAAAGGAGGUUAUAGAGUUCUAUGUUGACUUUAUUCCAGACAUUGACCCAAUUGGCAUUCCUGAAUCACGACAUGAGAGUAGACUCAGUGGCGAGGAGACACUUGGGAAGAAAACAUAUAUCGGUACAGAGAGCAAUUACUUCAAUAAAGCACACUACACAGUUCUACAGAACUCCUCGCUGGUGGAUCCGUAUAUCGAGGUACAUAAGGAUUUCAUUCGAUCCAAGUGGCCUGGGAAGAAUGAAGCUUGGAUUAGGCAUCAUCACAUGGAAACCUUUGGCGAUUGGUUGCGAAAAGAAUGUCAGGUUGAUGAAAACAUAGAUGAGCAGCUUUAUUUGUUGGCCAGACAGCCAUCAUGGCAUAUCAGCAUGUACAAAGGAUACGAGAUCAAUGGGAAUACAUUUUACACAUUAGCCCAAGAUAAAAGGAGCACCAACCAAAAUAGUGGUGUACGAGUAGAUGCCACAGAUCCAAAUGGGAACAAACAAACAUACUAUGGCCAAAUACAUGACAUAUGGGAACUAGACUAUGUAGCAAAUUUUAAAGUUCCUUUGUUCCGAUGUAAAUGGGUGAAGAUGACCGGAGGUGGGGUUGUUAACGGUCGAUAACACAAACUUUUAUUAGAACUUUAGACCCGAAGGAAAACAUGAAAACACACUAGUCCAGGGUUUUAUUUGACAAUUUCCACUAGUUUUGCAUAUUCUAUAUUUUCUAGGGUGAAUUUUAGGAAAGCUGAAAAGAGGGAUUCUAGUGCAGAAUAAACAUGAAACUUAUCCGCUACAAGAAACAUCACAGAAAGACUCAAGAAGGAUGGAGAAGACACACGAAGCAACGGGGGGCCUGUUGGUCGAUAGGUGGGACCAGCCGGCCCCACCAUAGCGCCGGCAGGUGCCCCCUCUAGGGUUUUGACCCCUCUCUUCUGGAAACUUCCUCCACCACCUACGAGGAGUCAUCUCGGCCCUUGGUUAAGGCGGCUUGAUCCUACAGCGCACGCGCAUCCCAACCGGACUAUUAUUCAUUAUUCAUCAAGGCCUCAAGCCAUCAAGCAUCAAGCGCCUUCAAGUUCAUCAAGAGCCUUCUAGUUCAUAGUUCUAGUUAGUCAGAUUAGAGUUAGAGGAUCUAGUUCUUCAUCAGGAUCUAGAGCCCCUAGCAUUGGUCUAGAGCGCAAGAGUUCGGUAAUAGAUCUAGUUCUUACUUUGUAGUAUUCAAUUGUAUAUUAGGGAGACUUUAUUCUUAAUAGAUUCAUAUGUUCUUAAUUGCAAUGGUCAUUGUCUACUUUGAUUAUAUGUCUAGGAUAGUUGGUUUGAUCUUAUUGAAUUCAUGUAAUUGCUCGUAUAGCGUUUACCUAAAAGAUCUUUGGGUAGAUGGUAGACAAUAUGUAGACGUGGUGUCUAGAUAUGGGAUGUGUGGUAGACCGCAUAGGUGACAGCUGUGUUGGAUCCUCUGUAGUCCACCCUCCAUACAUAGGACUAGCAUGGGCACGGUCACGAAGGAGGUGACCCUUGUGUCUUAAUACCCUCAUUAGUUGAUGCCUCUUUACAUGUGAUUACGAUAUAGGGUUAGCUCAACAAUGGUUUCUAGAUGUAAUUGCACUAAAUAGAGUUAUACAGUGAUGUAGUUAUAGAAUUACCUUAGAUCCAACUCCCUAGUUUUUCCAAUGGCUAACUGUGAUUAUGACUAGUAGAUGCUCUGAUGAUUAUCCUUAAUUAUAAUAUUUGAUGAUUAUGCUAUCAUUAUUAUUUACCCAUAUUUAACUUGUGACCUCUGCCUAUUAUGAGUAGAUUAGGCAACCUUGGUAAUAUCAUUUAUUCAUCCUAUAUAGUUUCUUAUCAAUAUAAUAGAAUAUAGUUUAAUACUUAGCCUUCCUAGUGGUAUAAAUAUAAAUCGACAACCUGGAUACUUCCCUAUGUAAAAUGCUACAACGGUAUAAUUAUUUGUAUGCCUGCAGAACUCAUUUAGUUUACAAUCACAUUAUAUUCAUAUCUUUUAUAUCUGCCUAGUCACAUUAGUACAUGUGAAUCUAUAAUAAUUUCCUAGCAAUACAAAUAGGGAUGACAACGUACUUCAUGUUUAGGAAUGUUAGUAAUUAAGAAGUGGCUAGUUGCUAAUUGACAAGUUAAUUAUUUACCGUGCAUUUCUGGCGUUGUUGCUAGAGGUAGGGCUUAUCUCAAUUUUUAUCAAUGAUGGUAGUAAAUGUCCACAAGCAUUUUUGGCGCCGUUACCGGGGAAGGUGUUGGGCAUUCUUAACGUCACUACCAAAAGUAGACCUAGUUUUCUAAUUCUGAGAACGACGCCAAAAAUGUCAAACCUAUCCCUCAUGCCACUUAAGCCAAGUUGUCAUCCGCAGCAUGACAUAAGAGACACGGUAUUGAAAUAUGCAAUUGCACUUCUAAAUAAAUAAUAAAUGAGAUCUGCAAGCGCACAGAUUAAUACCGAUGUAGCAUUUUAACCGGGAAGUAUUCCAGGUAUCGUUAUUUAUAUUUUUACCACUGGGAAGGGAUUGGUAAACAUCAAUGUUGAUUAUAGAAUGAAAUAUAGAAUUGAGUAUCUAUCAUUGCAUGUAUAAUUGAGAACAGUUAUCUAUCUAUGUCAUACAGGGAUAAGUGUCACAUAAAAGAUAGAUAAAGUAUGAAUGGUGACAAAGAUAAUUAAUCUGAUCAGCAUAACUUAGCCACAUAUAAAUAUGAUAAGCACCUCAAUAGAUAUUCUAGCAAGUCAUUAGCAUGGAAUUAGAAUGAACUACAAGAAUAUUUCCUAAGCAUAUCAUAGUUAGUGCAAUUAUACAUGGCAAUUAUUGCGAGACAAGACUACGCCCAUGCAUAGUGAUAUUAUCAAAGAAUAUGAGAAACAUCGCAAUCACUCUCCUGUAAUAAUGUUGCUCUGCCAGACCAAUACAUGAGAGGGGAACUAUAUAAGAAUCAAUGGAGCUGUCACUACCACGAACUACCCCGCGAUCUGGCAUAUCGGGUACAAUCAUAGAUAAAUACGGUAUAGGCACCAUGCCCACACAAUACUUAUCAUUUACCCACUCUACACAUGGAUAGAUGCUAUACGAUCCUAAACAUGUAUAUAAUUCCAAUCUAACUAAGCCAAGCAUAUAACUAUGAUAAACUAAGAACAAUAUAAUUGCGAAUAUAAACAAGUAGAGCAAAGUCAUGAUCAAUAUAUUUAAGUAGAACAAAGUCAUAUUCAUAAUAUUGAAGAACAAAGAUGAACAAUUGAAAAAUAGUAGAGGAAUUACCAAGAUUCCUCUUGACAGAUCUGGAAACCAAUCGAAGAUUGACUCCUUCUAGUUCUAAUCCUAUGUAGCUAAGCUAAACUAGAGAUCUAAUUGAUGUGGUGGCUCUAGGGCUUGAUCAGAGGCUUCUUCUCCCAAGAUGAAUAAUGAAUUAGGUGUCAGAGGUCCUCUCCUCCAGGGGCCAGGGGGUCUGCUUAUAUAGUCCUUCCAAGUGAAUGUGGGCCGUUGGAUCAAACCGACAUUAAUCGCACGAUUUUCCUUGAUCCUUUAGGUCGGUGGAGCAUGAUCCGCGAAGUUGAAGCUGAUUGGCUCUGAGGCCAAGGCGGGCGCCCAAGGGGGGAGGGCGGGCACCGUGCCCCCGAGCUCGUCCGCUCUCUCGUUCAUUCCCGUGACUUCUGGACUCUUCUAGAUGUUGAAUAAUUGCGCGGCACGUUAAUAUCUCUAUGUAAACCCGACGUGUGGGCCUUUCUUCCAUAAUUCCUGAUAACCCCCUGCAGAAAUAGACGAACACCAAAACUCGUCUAAUUCUGUCAGAUAAAACCCUAAGUCUGGAUGUCGAUUGCAUUCGGAUCCUUUUCUUUGUUUAUUUGAUAAUUAAAUUUGAUACUUAAGGACCGUCAACAAACUCCCCUAAGCUUACCUCUUGCUCGUCCCUGAGCAAGGAUAAUCUCAGUGAUGGAUCAGAAGUUGCUGCAAUGCCUUUAAAAGUUGACGGUACACAUGCUUUCAAAUGAGGUCUCAUUUCUGAGUUAAAGUAAACUACCAAGACUUAAAACUUAUUCAUUUUACCUAUUACCAUGGGACUUGUAACCGUCACUUCUGUCUUGAGUAGUUAAAAGAUAGAACGGUCUAGUCAAGUGCCAUGUCUCUUAUUCUUGAUCAGCUAUAGCUCUGGAGUUUUUGUAGAUUUUCAAAUAAAACUCAGAGAUUCCUUGUAUGACUCUCUCAGAUCUCUCUUUUGUGGUAUUUCUGGAUCCUUACCAAGGCAGUGAUGGUAUAUGCCUUCUCUCAAAGUAUGUAGUAUUUGUGGUAUAAGGCAUAGUGACAUUGCCUUCUCUCUCAUCCUACUCUAAUAAGGCUUUUAAUAUCUGGAGCUCAUAGGUGGGAGAUAAAGUAUACAUACUUACAUGACAUUUAUUGUAUAGUCAAACCAUGGAUCCAGACAAACAAGUCAAUAAGUCAAAUCAAGAUGUGCAUGUGUGGCGAAUGAAUGGUGUAUGGUGAUGAUAACAAUGGUGAAAGUCUAAUUCUACUUUUGCUCUUUUGAGGGAAUACAUAUCUUUCUUGCUCUUUGAAACUUUUGAGGAGAAUGAGAUGCUCUAUAUUUUCUUUUACUUUCCUCUCAGGUGGGUAUCUUGUACCCCUAAUUCUACUGUCGGACACUUGUCCAUUUUUACCUCUCGUCUCACUUUUUCUUUUUCUUCAAGGUUCCGGGCACUUGCCCCUUUUUAUUUCCUCGUAUUUUUUUUCUUUUUUAGAGCACUCAUUUCCUGAAAUAAUAUAGCAAGUGGCAGUAACCAAGAUAACUUGAGCAUUUAUUUCACAGGGAAAAACAGAAAUAUUUUUGGCUAUUCUCUCCCGGAUUAGGAGUAGAAUAUUUUUGGGUGGUUCUGGAGAUGGAAAUUGGUGGAUAUAUGUGGAUGUGUACUUCCGGAGUAGAAGCAGCAUGUGUGAGUGAACGUGCAAGUGAAUCUUAAUUUUAACCACAUGACAAGCUCCUAAGGGUCUACACAGCUUGACCACACUCAAUGCUCAUAAGGAGUAAAAAGUAAAUGUGUGGCUCAAAGUCUAGCAAGCAUGUAUAUAUAUGGCUGUGGUAGGAAUUUAAAGUCUCAUCAUGCAGGAACUCAUCAUGUGAUAUUUUUAAAGAUUUUCAAAGAUAAAAUUCUCCGGAAUUUCUGGCAUCUCUAGGAACAGAUAAACAGCAGCUUAACAUUCUCAUAUCAUAUCCGUUAACAACUUAGGCUUUGGAUCAAGUUUUCUUCCCACAAGUUCAAAUUAUGAGCAAGCUUUAAAUAAUAACAGUUAUGUCUAAACUUGAGAGAGAACUUCAAAUUUGAAAAUUAGGCAGAGCAACUAUUCAUCAUAUGUGUUGACGGUCCUUAAGUAUCAAAUUUAAUUAUCAAAUAAAUAAAGAAAAGGAUCCAAAUGAAAUCAACAUCUAGACUUAGGGUUUUAUCUGACAGAAUUCUACGAGUUUUGGUGUUUGCCUAUUUCUGCAGGGGGUUAUCAGGAAAUACGGAAGAAAGACCCACACGUCGGGAUUACAUAGAGAUAUUAACGUGCCGCGCAAUUAUCUUACAUCUAGAAGACUCCAGAAGCCACGGGAAGAAAGCGGAGGCCGAACGGGGCCAGAGGCAGGGCACCCGCCCUCCUUCCCUGGGCGCCCGCCCUGACUUGGAGUCCAAACAGGACUCUGUUUCAUGGGAGAUCUCCACCGACCUAAAGGAUCAAGAAUAACCGUUCAAUCAAUGUCGGUUUGAUCCAACGGCCCAUAUUCACUUGAAGGGACUAUAAAACC
Molecule: long non-coding RNA, 40062 nt
Filed under: Sorghum bicolor (sorghum)
Lineage: Eukaryota; Viridiplantae; Streptophyta; Magnoliopsida; Poales; Poaceae
Description: long non-coding RNA (SBIC_LNC006561)
Source: RNAcentral